RNAcentral lists this ribosomal RNA (253 nucleotides) under uncultured bacterium. RNAcentral's name for it is "partial 16S ribosomal RNA". It matches the Rfam family "Bacterial small subunit ribosomal RNA", at positions 524 to 776 of the family's 1533-position model. The record is from RNAcentral.
UACGUAGGGAGCAAGCGUUGUCCGGAAUCAUUGGGCGUAAAGCGCGCGUAGGUGGCCUCAUAAGUCCGUUGUGAAAGUCAAAGGCUCAACCUUUGAAAGCCGAUGGAUACUGUGAGACUAGAGUACGGAAGAGGCGAGUGGAAUUCCUGGUGUAGCGGUGAAAUGCGCAGAUAUCAGGAGGAACACCGGUGGCGAAGGCGGAUCUCUGGGCCUUGCCUGACGCUGAGGCGCGAAAGCUAGGGGAGCGAACAGG